GACGAACGCUGGCGGCGUGCUUAACACAUGCAAGUCGAGCGGUAAGGCCCUUUUGGGGGUACACGAGCGGCGAACGGGUGAGUAACACGUGGGUGACCUGCCUUUGGCUUCGGGAUAAGCCUGGGAAACUGGGUCUAAUACCGGAUAUGACUUGGCUUCGCAUGGGGUUGGGUGGAAAGUUCGGUGUUGUAGUGGCACUGUUCGGCUGGAGAUGGGCCCGCGGCCUAUCAGCUUGUUGGCGGGGUAACGGCCCACCAAGGCGA
This 263-nucleotide ribosomal RNA is filed under the name uncultured Actinomycetes bacterium. RNAcentral's name for it is "uncultured actinobacterium partial 16S ribosomal RNA". It matches the Rfam family "Bacterial small subunit ribosomal RNA", at positions 28 to 276 of the family's 1533-position model. The record is from RNAcentral. Lineage: Bacteria; Bacillati; Actinomycetota; Actinomycetes.